GGGUGAUGGCGUGCCUUUUGUAGAAUGAACCGGCGAGUUACGAUCCCGUGCGAGGUUAAGCUGAAGAGGCGGAGCCGCAGCGAAAGCGAGUCUGAAUAGGGCGUUUAGUACGUGGUCGUAGACCCGAAACCAGGUGAUCUACCCAUGUCCAGGGUGAAGUUCAGGUAACACUGAAUGGAGGCCCGAACCCACGCACGUUGAAAAGUGCGGGGAUGAGGUGUGGGUAGCGGAGAAAUUCCAAUCGAACCUGGAGAUAGCUGGUUCUCCCCGAAAUAGCUUUAGGGCUAGCCUUAAGUGUAAGAGUCUUGGAGGUAGAGCACUGAUUGGACUAGGGGUCCUCAUCGGAUUACCGAAUUCAGUCAAACUCCGAAUGCCAAUGACUUAUCCUUAGGAGUCAGACUGCGAGUGAUAAGAUCCGUAGUCAAAAGGGAAACAGCCCAGACCGCCAGCUAAGGUCCCAAAGUGUGUAUUAAGUGGAAAAGGAUGUGGAGUUGCUUAGACAACUAGGAUGUUGGCUUAGAAGCAGCCACCAUUUAAAGAGUGCGUAAUAGCUCACUAGUCGAGUGACUCUGCGCCGAAAAUGUACCGGGGCUAAAUACACCACCGAAGCUGCGGAUUGAUACCAAUGGUAUCAGUGGUAGGGGAGCGUUCUAAGGACAGUGAAGUCAGACCGGAAGGACUGGUGGAGUGCUUAGAAGUGAGAAUGCCGGUAUGAGUAGCGAAAGACGGGUGAGAAUCCCGUCCACCGAAUGCCUAAGGUUUCCUGAGGAAGGCUCGUCCGCUCAGGGUUAGUCAGGACCUAAGCCGAGGCCGACAGGCGUAGGCGAUGGACAACAGGUUGAUAUUCCUGUACCACCUCUUUAUCGUUUGAGCAAUGGAGGGACGCAGAAGGAUAGAAGAAGCGUGCGAUUGGUUGUGCACGUCCAAGCAGUUAGGCUGAUAAGUAGGCAAAUCCGCUUAUCG
This 963-nucleotide ribosomal RNA is filed under the name Bacillus cereus. RNAcentral's name for it is "partial 23S ribosomal RNA". It matches the Rfam family "Bacterial large subunit ribosomal RNA", at positions 591 to 1551 of the family's 2925-position model. The record is from RNAcentral. Lineage: Bacteria; Bacillati; Bacillota; Bacilli; Caryophanales; Bacillaceae.